Molecule: long non-coding RNA, 1573 nt
Filed under: Homo sapiens (human)
Lineage: Eukaryota; Metazoa; Chordata; Mammalia; Primates; Hominidae
Description: non-protein coding lnc-NUBPL-1:8
Source: RNAcentral
GGAGACUGCGGCCCAAGUUAGGAUUAGGACAGCGGUUUUUCAGUCCGGAGAUUCCGGCCACAACUAUUUUUGUCUGUUUUUAUCGUAAGCCAGAGUCUUUGGGUGCAGCUCUGGGACACCUAAAGGGCCUGGAGAAAUUCAGGCGGGGCCAGUGCUGUGGGGGUAGAUGUUAGACGUGGAAGGGACCCUAGAGAGCCUUGACUGUGAGGACUGAGGGCCUCCUUUGUUGCCCAGGCCGGAGUGCAGUGGCUAUUCACAGGUCGAUAAUGCAAUCAUGGUGCACACUACAGCCUUGAACUUCUGGGCUCAUGUGAUCCUUCUGCCUCAGCCUCCCAGCGCUAUCCUCAUCAUACAUAUACUGUGAAGAUAAAAUAUCUGUUGAAGAUUCUUUGAGCACCUUGGGCCAGAAGAGCUACAGAAAGCCAAGGUGUGGCUGUGAUGACACUGAAUUCAGCUCAAGACCCAGGAGAACCUUACAUCUAUUCUUAUUUCCACAAGGAAGUGCACACAUGGCUAAUGCAAAUUCUUCCAUAAUAAUGAUAUAAACUUGAGUUGUCCAGGUUUGAUGAGACCCACAUCUUGUAUAUACAGUGUCAUCUACUGCCUCUGUUAGGGGCUCUAGGGGAUAAAGGAAACUAUAUUAAGAAAUGCAGCAUCUGUUUCUCCCUGUGUGACCACCCUACUUCCAAGAAGUUUCUGUAUCCUUGGCUGAAGUGCACUGUGUGUAUGUGUAUGUGUGUACACUCUUCUACAUCAAUCUGUAAGUCACUGAAAUGCUGCAGAUGUUUUAAAAAAAUUCCACCAUACUUGCUUACUUUAAACUUUGAAACAGGCAAAUAGCUAAGGCCAAUAACACUAGAUAGAAUUAAGUAAUUAAUAAUUUAACAGCACAAUUUAACAUUGUGCUUCUUAGGAUGGGCAGGGAUUGGUUAAUGGAUACAAAAUUAUAGCUAGAUAGGAGGAAUGAGUUCUGGUGUUCUGGAGCACUGUAGGAUGAAUAUGGCUAACUAUAAUUUAUUGUAUACUGUCAAAAGUCUAGAAGAAAGGAUUUUAAAUGUUCACAACACAAAUAAUAAAUUUUUGAGAUAAUGCAUAUCUGGUUUGAUUGUUAUACAUUGUAUACAGUAUUAAAAUAUCACUAUGUAUCCCAUGAAUAUGUAAAAUUAUUAUUUAUUAUUUUAAAAAUAAAAGGGGAGGAAAGAGAUUGUGCUUUUUGUCCCUUCGGGUUCAUUUGUCUAUUACUAUUCUUUCUCACUCUCUUUUUUUUUUUUUUUUUGAGACAGGGUCUCACUCUGUUGCCCAGGCUGGAGUGCAGUGGCACCAUCUCGGCUCACUGCAGCCUCGACCUCCUGGCCUCAAGUAAUCUUCCAGCCUCAGCCUCCUAAGUAGCUAGGACCAUAGGCACAGGUCACCGUACCCAGCUACUUUUGUUUAUUUUUUGUAGAGAAGAGGUCUUACUAUGUUGCCCAGGCUGGCUUCUAACUCCUGGGUUCAAGUAAUCCACUUGCCUUGGCCUCCCAACGUGUUGGGAUUACAGGUGUGAGCACCAUGCUUGGCCUCUCACUCUUAAAAA